GGAGUUUUGGGUUGACGAAACCCUCUCUUUUUGGUUUAAAAUUUAGGCUAGGCACCUUUCCCUCCAAACCGCAGCGGCAAGGCCCCACACAACACUCGCUGUUACCUUUCCUUGGAAAAUGCAUGUCAAUCAAACUCAAAAAAAAUAAAUAAGUAAUGUCUGCUGAUAGUUGAUACGUUGCUUUAUCAAAGUCUUCCAUGGAGUGCAUUUUUAGUGAUAUUUUUCUUGGCAUCGGUGGAAGAAGACACCACCCCUUUCCCAUUUGAAACUUCAAAUAUCAAGGACUAGGCUUAACAUUGAGAAUUGUAGGUGCGUGGACUUCAGUGUCCAUAGGAUGGCUACUCCUUUUUUUAACGUAAAAGUUUUGCCUUAACAAGUUUCUUUGUUAGUCAAAGCCCAAAGGCAUCGCACAACGCACACACACACACAGCCACCGGAGAUCGAAUAAAGAGUGAGGUCCAAGUCAGAAAUAGAGUACAAAGAGACAUCUUGUCUUUCUUUUUUCUCGAAACAAAGCAAGAGAUAAAGAAAGAAAAGCACAUCAAGCUCAUUAUCACAAAUUAAACAAAGUUGAUGAAGAAUUAGAAAUUUAUCAAACCCCUUCAUCUGCCUUCCGGAUGCAAUGGGAAAAGCUCAAGAGUUCUAUCUCCUUCCUCUCUGCAUGACCUGCUUUCUUCUAAUUCCAGGCACUCAAAUGCCAAGCUCCUGCACUUUCUCUUGUAUGGACUGUCUUCGUCUCUCUCAACUUUUCCCCUCGUAUCCAAAGAUAUAGUGGUAAUGGGGCCUGGGGUUCUCGGACUAUGGCUUCGACCAAGGCCGUUGCGCUUCUGCUUUUGCCUUUCGCGGGCUUUGUGGUUUUGGAACCAGUAAAACACGUUUUUUCCUUCAAUCUUGCCGUAUCUGCCUAGUUGUGCAGUGAUUCGUUCUAUUUCCUGGGCAUUGGGAGUUUUCAUUCCUCCUCUAUAGAGCAUCUCCAAUAUCCCUAUUUGUUCUUGGGUUGGGUUCCACCGGGUCCCUCCUGCGUGUGUCUCCACCUGAGGUGAAUCUUUCUUCUCGUCAGAGGAUCCAAGCUUUCUAGAACCACUUUCAGGUCUAAUGAAGCUCUUGAGAUCGAACGAGGCGACACUAUCUGUGUUGGCCAGCUUAGGAGCAAGAGGGCGAAGACGCUUGCAACCAAGCGUGAGAGAGGGUUCGUGCUCCCAGAAUCCACGUGCCAACUGAUGCACCUUCAUGCUUCACAUGGUGGAGGAGUGAAAGAGAGAGAGCUGUAAUUAUAUAGAGGAUGCUAAAGAAAGUGGGAUAUGAGGUGGUGCUUACAAGAACCCAAGACCAAAUCAUGAGGGGAGGUUGACU
RNAcentral lists this unclassified non-coding RNA (1353 nucleotides) under Hevea brasiliensis (rubber tree). The record is from RNAcentral. Lineage: Eukaryota; Viridiplantae; Streptophyta; Magnoliopsida; Malpighiales; Euphorbiaceae.